CGCAAGUGGCGGAUGCCUAUACAUGCAAGUCGAACGAGCUUCCGUUGAAUGACGUGCUUGCACUGAUUUCAACAAUGAAGCGAGUGGCGAACUGGUGAGUAACACGUGGGAAAUCUGCCCAGAAGCAGGGGAUAACACUUGGAAACAGGUGCUAAUACCGUAUAACAACAAAAUCCGCAUGGAUUUUGUUUGAAAGGUGGCUUCGGCUAUCACUUCUGGAUGAUCCCGCGGCGUAUUAGUUAGUUGGUGAGGUAAAGGCCCACCAAGACGAUGAUACGUAGCCGACCUGAGAGGGUAAUCGGCCACAUUGGGACUGAGACACGGCCCAAACUCCUACGGGAGGCAGCAGUAGGGAAUCUUCCACAAUGGACGAAAGUCUGAUGGAGCAAUGCCGCGUGAGUGAAGAAGGGUUUCGGCUCGUAAAACUCUGUUGUUAAAGAAGAACACCUUUGAGAGUAACUGUUCAAGGGUUGACGGUAUUUAACCAGAAAGCCACGGCUAACUACGUGCCAGCAGCCGCGGUAAUACGUAGGUGGCAAGCGUUGUCCGGAUUUAUUGGGCGUAAAGCGAGCGCAGGCGGUUUUUUAAGUCUGAUGUGAAAGCCUUCGGCUUAACCGGAGAAGUGCAUCGGAAACUGGGAGACUUGAGUGCAGAAGAGGACAGUGGAACUCCAUGUGUAGCGGUGGAAUGCGUAGAUAUAUGGAAGAACACCAGUGGCGAAGGCGGCUGUCUAGUCUGUAACUGACGCUGAGGCUCGAAAGCAUGGGUAGCGAACAGGAUUAGAUACCCUGGUAGUCCAUGCCGUAAACGAUGAGUGCUAAGUGUUGGAGGGUUUCCGCCCUUCAGUGCUGCAGCUAACGCAUUAAGCACUCCGCCUGGGGAGUACGACCGCAAGGUUGAAACUCAAAGGAAUUGACGGGGGCCCGCACAAGCGGUGGAGCAUGUGGUUUAAUUCGAAGCUACGCGAAGAACCUUACCAGGUCUUGACAUCUUCUGCCAAUCUUAGAGAUAGACGUUUCCCUUCGGGGACAGAAUGACAGGUGGUGCAUGGAUGUCGUCAGCUCGUGUCGUGAAGAUGUGGGUUAAGUCCGCACGAGCGCACCCUUAUUAUCAGUGCAGCAUCAGUUGGGCCCUCUGGUGAGACUGCCGGUGACAACCCGAGGAAGGUGGGGAUGACGUUCAAAUCAUUCAUG
This 1193-nucleotide ribosomal RNA is filed under the name Levilactobacillus brevis. RNAcentral describes it as "bacterial SSU rRNA". It matches the Rfam family "Bacterial small subunit ribosomal RNA", at positions 34 to 1197 of the family's 1533-position model. The record is from RNAcentral. Lineage: Bacteria; Bacillati; Bacillota; Bacilli; Lactobacillales; Lactobacillaceae.